Molecule: small nuclear RNA, 185 nt
Filed under: Anolis carolinensis (green anole)
Lineage: Eukaryota; Metazoa; Chordata; Lepidosauria; Squamata; Anolidae
Description: 7SK RNA
Rfam family: 7SK RNA
About the family: 7SK was discovered as an abundant small nuclear RNA in the mid-70s but a possible function has only recently been suggested. Two independent studies have found that 7SK RNA binds the CDK9/cyclin T complex (known as elongation factor P-TEFb).
Source: Rfam by way of RNAcentral
ACAUGUGAGGGCGAUCUGGCUGCGACAUCUGUCACCCCAUUGAUCGCCAGGGUUGAUUCGGCUGAUCUGGCUGGCUAGGCGAGUGUCCCCUUCCUCCCUCACCACUCCAUGUGCGUCCCUCCCGAAGCUGCGCGCUCGGUGGAAGAGGACAACGUCCCAGUUAUUGUCUCCCUUUUAUGCUUUUG